This 209-nucleotide long non-coding RNA is filed under the name Elaeis guineensis (African oil palm). Its description in RNAcentral is "long non-coding RNA (EGUI_LNC035830)". The record is from RNAcentral. Lineage: Eukaryota; Viridiplantae; Streptophyta; Magnoliopsida; Arecales; Arecaceae.
GGUGCGAGUGGACUUCCUGGUGGUAAAGGCACCGUCCGCCUAUAACGCAAUACUCGACCGACCCAGCCUUAACGCCCUCCGAGCUGUGGUGUCGACCUACCAUUUAAAGUUGAAAUUUCCUACGGGUUAGGGGGUUGGAGAGGUCAGAGGAGAUCAAGCCUUGGCGAGACACUGCUACAGCAUAGCCUUGCAAAGAAGUGAUCGAUCUG